GUCGAACGGCAGCACGGGGGCAACCCUGGUGGCGAGUGGCGAACGGGUGAGUAAUACAUCGGAACGUGUCCUGUAGUGGGGGAUAGCCCGGCGAAAGCCGGAUUAAUACCGCAUACGCUCUGCGGAGGAAAGCGGGGGAUCCUUCGGGACCUCGCGCUACAGGGGCGGCCGAUGGCAGAUUAGCUAGUUGGUGGGGUAAAGGCCUACCAAGGCGACGAUCUGUAGCUGGUCUGAGAGGACGACCAGCCACACUGGGACUGAGACACGGCCCAGACUCCUACGGGAGGCAGCAGUGGGGAAUUUUGGACAAUGGGGGCAACCCUGAUCCAGCAAUGCCGCGUGUGUGAAGAAGGCCUUCGGGUUGUAAAGCACUUUUGUCCGGAAAGAAAACUUCGGGGCUAAUACCUCUGGGGGAUGACGGUACCGGAAGAAUAAGCACCGGCUAACUACGUGCCAGCAGCCGCGGUAAUACGUAGGGUGCAAGCGUUAAUCGGAAUUACUGGGCGUAAAGCGUGCGCAGGCGGUCCGCUAAGACAGAUGUGAAAUCCCCGGGCUUAACCUGGGAACUGCAUUUGUGACUGGCGGGCUAGAGUAUGGCAGAGGGGGGUAGAAUUCCACGUGUAGCAGUGAAAUGCGUAGAGAUGUGGAGGAAUACCGAUGGCGAAGGCAGCCCCCUGGGCCAAUACUGACGCUCAUGCACGAA
RNAcentral lists this ribosomal RNA (703 nucleotides) under Paraburkholderia rhynchosiae. RNAcentral's name for it is "bacterial SSU rRNA". It matches the Rfam family "Bacterial small subunit ribosomal RNA", at positions 61 to 757 of the family's 1533-position model. Lineage: Bacteria; Pseudomonadati; Pseudomonadota; Betaproteobacteria; Burkholderiales; Burkholderiaceae. The record is from RNAcentral.